GACGAACGCUGGCGGCGUGCUUAACACAUGCAAGUCGAACGGAAAGGCCCUGCUUUUGUGGGGUGCUCGAGUGGCGAACGGGUGAGUAACACGUGAGUAACCUGCCCUUGACUUUGGGAUAACUUCAGGAAACUGGGGCUAAUACCGGAUAGGAGCUCCUGCUGCAUGGUGGGGGUUGGAAAGUUUCGGCGGUUGGGGAUGGACUCGCGGCUUAUCAGCUUGUUGGUGGGGUAGUGGCUUACCAAGGCUUUGACGGGUAGCCGGCCUGAGAGGGUGACCGGCCACAUUGGGACUGAGAUACGGCCCAGACUCCUACGGGAGGCAGCAGUGGGGAAUAUUGCACAAUGGGCGGAAGCCUGAUGCAGCAACGCCGCGUGCGGGAUGACGGCCUUCGGGUUGUAAACCGCUUUCGCCUGUGACGAAGCGUGAGUGACGGUAAUGGGUAAAGAAGCACCGGCUAACUACGUGCCAGCAGCCGCGGUGAUACGUAGGGUGCGAGCGUUGUCCGGAUUUAUUGGGCGUAAAGGGCUCGUAGGUGGUUGAUCGCGUCGGAAGUGUAAUCUUGGGGCUUAACCCUGAGCGUGCUUUCGAUACGGGUUGACUUGAGGAAGGUAGGGGAGAAUGGAAUUCCUGGUGGAGCGGUGGAAUGCGCAGAUAUCAGGAGGAACACCAGUGGCGAAGGCGGUUCUCUGGGCCUUUCCUGACGCUGAGGGGCGAAAGCGUGGGGAGCGAACAGGCUUAGAUACCCUGGUAGUCCACGCUGUAAACGGUGGGUACUAGGUGUGGGGUCCAUUCCACGGGUUCCGUGCCGUAGCUAACGCUUUAAGUACCCCGCCUGGGGAGUACGGCCGCAAGGCUAAAACUCAAAGGAAUUGACGGGGCCCCGCACAAGCGGCGGAGCAUGCGGAUUAAUUCGAUGCAACGCGUAGAACUUUACCUGGGUUUGACAUGGAUCGGGAGUGCUCAGAGAUGGGUGUGCCUCUUUUGGGGUCGGUUCACAGGUGGUGCAUGGCUGUCGUCAGCUCGUGUCGUGAGAUGUUGGGUUAAGUCCCGCAACGAGCGCAACCCUUGUUCACUGUUGCCAGCACGUUAUGGUGGGGACUCAGUGGAGACCGCCGGGGUCAACUCGGAGGAAGGUGGGGAUGACGUCAAGUCAUCAUGCCCCUUAUGUCCAGGGCUUCACGCAUGCUACAAUGGCUGGUACAGAGAGUGGCGAGCCUGUGAGGGUGAGCGAAUCUCGGAAAGCCGGUCUCAGUUCGGAUUGGGGUCUGCAACUCGACCCCAUGAAGUCGGAGUCGCUAGUAAUCGCAGAUCAGCAACGCUGCGGUGAAUAUGUUCCCGGG
This 1343-nucleotide ribosomal RNA is filed under the name uncultured bacterium. Its description in RNAcentral is "16S ribosomal RNA". It matches the Rfam family "Bacterial small subunit ribosomal RNA", at positions 28 to 1378 of the family's 1533-position model. The record is from RNAcentral.